RNAcentral lists this ribosomal RNA (464 nucleotides) under uncultured Methanosaeta sp. Its description in RNAcentral is "bacterial SSU rRNA". It matches the Rfam family "Archaeal small subunit ribosomal RNA", at positions 875 to 1338 of the family's 1478-position model. Lineage: Archaea; Methanobacteriati; Methanobacteriota; Methanomicrobia; Methanotrichales; Methanotrichaceae. The record is from RNAcentral.
AGCACCACAACGGGUGGAGCUUGCGGUUUAAUUGGAUUCGACGCCGGAAAUCUUACCGGGACCGACAGCAAUAUGAAGGCCAGGCUGAAGACUUUGCCGGAUUAGCUGAGAGGUGGUGCAUGGCCGUCGUCAGUUCGUACUGUGAAGCAUCCUGUUAAGUCAGGCAACGAGCGAGACCCACGCCCACAGUUGCCAGCGUACUCUCUGGAGUGACGGGUACACUGUGGGGACCGCCGCUGCUAAAGCGGAGGAAGGAAUGGGCAACGGUAGGUCAGUAUGCCCCGAAUAUCCCGGGCUACACGCGAGCUACAAUGGUUGGUACAAUGGGUAUCUACCCCGAAAGGGGACGGGAAUCUCCUAAAACCAAUCUUAGUUCGGAUUGAGGGCUGCAACUCGCCCUCAUGAAGCUGGAAUCCGUAGUAAUCGCGUUUCAACAGAACGCGGUGAAUACGUCCCUGCUCCUU